This 248-nucleotide ribosomal RNA is filed under the name uncultured Muribaculaceae bacterium. RNAcentral describes it as "partial 16S ribosomal RNA". It matches the Rfam family "Bacterial small subunit ribosomal RNA", at positions 524 to 772 of the family's 1533-position model. The record is from RNAcentral. Lineage: Bacteria; Pseudomonadati; Bacteroidota; Bacteroidia; Bacteroidales; Muribaculaceae.
UACGGAGGAUGCGAGCGUUAUCCGGAUUUAUUGGGUUUAAAGGGUGCGCAGGCGGACGCUCAAGUCAGCGGUAAAAUUGCGGGGCUCAACCCCGUCGAGCCGUUGAAACUGGGUGUCUUGAGUGAGCGAGAAGUAUGCGGAAUGCGUGGUGUAGCGGUGAAAUGCAUAGAUAUCACGCAGAACUCCGAUUGCGAAGGCAGCAUACCGGCGCUCAACUGACGCUCAUGCACGAAAGCGUGGGUAUCGAA